This 506-nucleotide ribosomal RNA is filed under the name uncultured bacterium. RNAcentral describes it as "bacterial SSU rRNA". It matches the Rfam family "Bacterial small subunit ribosomal RNA", at positions 9 to 507 of the family's 1533-position model. The record is from RNAcentral.
CGAGUUUGAUCCUGGCUCAGAUUGAACGCUGGCGGCAGGCUUAACACAUGCAAGUCGAACGGCAGCACGGGCUUCGGCCUGGUGGCGAGUGGCGAACGGGUGAGUAAUGCAUCGGAACGUGCCCAUUUGUGGGGGAUAACUACGCGAAAGCGUGGCUAAUACCGCAUACGCCCUGAGGGGGAAAGCGGGGGAUUCUUCGGAACCUCGCGCAAUUGGAGCGGCCGAUGUCAGAUUAGCUUGUUGGUGAGGUAAAGGCUCACCAAGGCGACGAUCUGUAGCGGGUCUGAGAGGAUGAUCCGCCACACUGGGACUGAGACACGGCCCAGACUCCUACGGGAGGCAGCAGUGGGGAAUUUUGGACAAUGGGGGCAACCCUGAUCCAGCCAUGCCGCGUGAGUGAAGAAGGCCUUCGGGUUGUAAAGCUCUUUCAGCCGGGAAGAAAACGCACUCUCUAACAUAGGGUGUGGAUGACGGUACCGGAAGAAGAAGCACCGGCUAACUACGUG